AUGACAUGUCUUCCAUUGUAUACGGGAAGUUGCUCGACAUGAGACACUUGUGAUCAGAGAAGAGGCAUAUAUGAUUGAAGUCAGAACUUGUUCCACUAUUGAGUAUCAUCAUCAUUACAUCAUCUUCACCUCCCGCCCCCUCAACUCAGUCUCGGGUACUCAGUCGCCGAAGUGUUAUCGCCACUCUCCGCAUCAAUUUUGUUAUCAGACGUUGUCAUUUUACUAUUAGGUGCAACGGACUUUUCUCUUAUGUGUACGUCUAUUUGUGUCAAGAUGAAUAGCUUGAAGGCGUUUAAGGAGCCAUUCGAUAGAAUCAUCUCUGAACCAGUGGAGGACACAGAUACGAGUAGCUUCAUGGCAGAAAUGUCCUUGAAGUCCAACUAUCCAGUCCAAGUCACAGAUCCUCAAGGUAGGUGCUUUAAGUUCAGUACAUCUGUUCACACAACUGAUGUGUCUUUCUGGGGCCUCUGAUGAGAAAGCACAAUAUUCAUCUAUACUGUCGAUCUGUCCUUUCCAGAUACAGUGACACUGCAGCUGAGGUCCAUGCCACCUGGCUACCUCACACCUCUCUCAGACAGAAUAAGACAGGUGGGUGAUGGGCUCACUUACACUGAGAUAAAGUGUAGUUUCUUUGUGUUAGUUUCAUAUUAAUGUGAAAAUGUGGUGAUGAGCCUUGACAGGAUGCUCCUGUAAACUGUAGAUUACUAAAGAUAACUCCAACCGCUAAGCCAGCAUCUGAGAAUGUCAUGACCUGGUCUGUAAUGUUUGAGUCUUUGUAACUGGAACUAGUGGUUGGUGUCAAAACCACAAGACCGUUUUCCGUAUAGGAAAAGGUUUGUGAGUUGGUGGUUGUGUUAUUU
Molecule: long non-coding RNA, 860 nt
Filed under: Salmo trutta (river trout)
Lineage: Eukaryota; Metazoa; Chordata; Actinopteri; Salmoniformes; Salmonidae
Description: lncRNA (ENSSTUG00000002933.1)
Source: RNAcentral